GUCUGCUUUGGCAGCACAUAUACUAAAAUUGGAAAGAUACAGAGAAGAUUAGCAUGGCCCUUGCCCAAGGAUGACACAGAAAUUCAUGAAGCAUUCCAUAUUUUA
Molecule: small nuclear RNA, 105 nt
Organism: Trichosurus vulpecula (common brushtail)
Lineage: Eukaryota; Metazoa; Chordata; Mammalia; Diprotodontia; Phalangeridae
Source: RefSeq, a predicted model, not a curated record